This 243-nucleotide ribosomal RNA is filed under the name uncultured bacterium. RNAcentral describes it as "partial 16S ribosomal RNA". It matches the Rfam family "Bacterial small subunit ribosomal RNA", at positions 63 to 334 of the family's 1533-position model. The record is from RNAcentral.
CGAACGGAUCCUUCGGGAUUAGUGGCGGACGGGUGAGUAACACGUGGGAACGUGCCCUUUGGUUCGGAACAACUCAGGGAAACUUGAGCUAAUACCGGAUGUGCCCUUCGGGGGAAAGAUUUAUCGCCAUUGGAGCGGCCCGCGUCUGAUUAGCUAGUUGGUGGGGUAAAGGCCCACCAAGGCGACGAUCAGUAGCUGGUCUGAGAGGAUGAUCAGCCACAUUGGGACUGAGACACGGCCCAA